UACGAAGGGGGCUAGCGUUGUUCGGAAUUACUGGGCGUAAAGCGCACGUAGGCGGAUAUUUAAGUCAGGGGUGAAAUCCCAGAGCUCAACUCUGGAACUGCCUUUGAUACUGGGUAUCUCGAGUAUGGAAGAGGUGAGUGGAAUUCCGAGUGUAGAGGUGAAAUUCGUAGAUAUUCGGAAGAACACCAGUGGCGAAGGCGGCUCAGCUGGCCCGGUACUGACGCUGAGGUGCGAAAGCGUGGGGAGCAAACAGG
Molecule: ribosomal RNA, 254 nt
Filed under: uncultured bacterium
Lineage: Bacteria
Description: partial 16S ribosomal RNA
Rfam family: Bacterial small subunit ribosomal RNA
Source: RNAcentral